Molecule: long non-coding RNA, 350 nt
Filed under: Manihot esculenta (cassava)
Lineage: Eukaryota; Viridiplantae; Streptophyta; Magnoliopsida; Malpighiales; Euphorbiaceae
Description: long non-coding RNA (MESC_LNC003456)
Source: RNAcentral
GAUCCGAAGCUUCUGUAAUUCCGUCGAACAUUCGCUCUCUGAGAAGUUCGGCGACAGCACUGGCCGGAGACUCGGAGGUAAUGUCCGAUGUGUUCAGAACGUUGCCAGAAGGAGACAACGAAGGCACAGCAGGAACACCUUUCUCCUUCCCAAUGGGAGGAAGAGCUGGAGAAGGUCCUGUGGCAGCCCUGGAUUUUUUCCGAGCUGGAGAUGGGGCAGAUGUUCCGGAUGGGGCUGGGCGCUUAUCCCCGGUCUUUGGUGGAACGCCCUCAGAUCCCUCAGGCCCAGUCCUCACAGAGGCAGGGGCAUCUUGAGCAGAAACCUCUGAGAUUUGGUCAUCUAGGAGGAUG